GUCUCUUCCUCUCUCUUCCUCUUUCCUCGCUCUCUCUCUUAUUCUGCAGCACCUGUGCCUGUCUGUCUCCUCCCUACCCACAGAUCUGUUGGUUGAACCCUGCUGUGGAUCCUUCUUGGUCCCAGGUCCUCUCCCUGGUGGGCCACUUCUCUUUCCCCUGGGUGGGCAGCUGUCGGAUGGGAUGGAGGCCGGUCAGGAGGACACUGUCUGGUUCUGGGGCUUGUCUCAACAGCUAUUCAACAGUCCUGUGCUGUGGUGAGGUAAAGACGGAAACCAGCUCUGCUCCACUGUGACGUCAUCGGAGACAGAGUGCGAGGGAAGGAGAGAGAGAAGGCGGGUGAAGCAGGGUCACAAAGAACAUUGACAGCUUACAGUUGCAGUCACCCUCUAUUUAAGUUAAGCUGCAUCAUUUGGCACUGUUUAAACAGCAAGCCUUUUAGAAUGGUGGUGCAAUGCCGCUCCAGGGUGAUGUCACUGAGCGGAACACAUGGCCAGCACAUGAUCCCAGAUGAGAACGCCACCCUGUCUUCUUCUUUCAAGACACCGUGAAGGAGCGGAAACUCCAGGGCUGGAGGGCUUGCUACUGCACCAACUAAAAAUAACUCCUCCCAAACGAUAAACUGUAAGAGAGGGAGUAACAGUCAGUCUGUCAGCACAGACUUGAAAUUAUACUCACACUCAAUGUUUUUAAUGGGGCUUCAGAUUUGCAGAUUUGCCGUGUAUUAAUGUUGUUGACACUGUAGCGUUUUCUAAGCAUACUCUCACAGGCAACCGUUUGAAUUGAGGAAUGGGCUUUUUCCACUGCCCUUUAGUGCUAGUCUUCCCAUUUGGCAACAUCCUUAAAUAUAAAUAUGCCAAACACCAACUUCUUUGAAGACAUACUGUACUGCAUAUAAUGCCAGGAAUAAAGUUGUCAAGUGUCGUUUGUUUUUUUUCCAUCAAUGUUAUGUUUAACGUUCGUUUAGGCUGUGUUUUGGGAGAAGUUACUUCAUUUCAUCCAUUAGGUUGCAUUUGCCUUGGCUAGUAUGUUUGUACCUUGAACAAGCAGGCUCUAUGUCUGUGUGGUUUGUCUCUGCAGCCCUGUAUGUCCUGACUGAACCACUCUACUGAUGUCACUUCCCAAAGACAAACACACCAAACACUGGGCUCUCGGGAAGUAAACAAGCCUCACAGGCCCAUCAAACUGAAAUGUCUCGACAAAAUAUAUUAUUCAGCUGUCAAACCUCUUAUGUUUACUUAAUUAUACAGUCCUUACACUUUCCUAGUCAAAUUCCUUCAUGUUAAAUACCUAUUACUUUCAUGUUUUUAUGUCCGGCUCCCUCUAUUCCUAGUAAUCAAGUCUUGCUCAUCCUCUUUACAGAAAUACUUGUGAUUCUAUGAAACCUGGAUUUUGCUGAAUGAAAAAUGACUGCAUCAGAGGAGUAGCCUGUUUCUAGUGUUGCAAUGAAGCUGCCUAACCCUUUUUGUACAAUCUCAGUAUUGGAUUCUGAUUCUGUCUUGACAGCUCAUCUACACUCAGACAAUCAACACGUCCCCUCCUUUCUGUCUUCCACCUUCCCAAGCCAGCUGCAGAAAUAGAAGCACUCACACCAGCCAGAGUGUUAGAUUCAUUGUUAUCACAUGGUAACUGAGGGAGUAAAGUUGAGAAAACGGAGGUAUUUGGAACAAUAACAGAAGAGGCCGUUAUUAUGGGAUGAAUGGCCUUUUAAGAGAACAGCACUGAAAUAAUGCAGAUAUGUCAGGAGAUUACAAUGAAAAUCCCCCCCACAUUCCCUUCCCUCCUGGGGCUAAGAGAAGAAUGUUCUCACCCAUAAACUGGUGACAUUCUUGAAUAAAAUCAAGAUUAAUUUAACGAGG
Hypomesus transpacificus is the source of this 1857-nucleotide long non-coding RNA. RefSeq lists it as uncharacterized. NCBI's taxonomy places the organism in Eukaryota, Metazoa, Chordata, Actinopteri, Osmeriformes, Osmeridae. The transcript has 3 exons. The record is from RefSeq and is a predicted model, not a curated record.